This 279-nucleotide unclassified non-coding RNA is filed under the name plant metagenome. RNAcentral describes it as "partial contains small subunit ribosomal RNA, internal transcribed spacer 1, and 5.8S ribosomal RNA". The record is from RNAcentral.
UCUCCGUUGGUGAACCAGCGGAGGGAUCAUUAAAGAGAUGCAAAACUCCCAAACUAUGGUUAACAGACGUUCACCUAUGCUUCCUCGAGUUAGCCCCGGUCUCCGAUGUCCCCCGCCCGCACUGGGGCUCGCCGGUGGUACCUAACGCUUGAACUUUUAUGGCCUCUCUGCUUUUUUGUGCUUAAUGGGGCUAUACUUUCAACAACUGAUCCUUUGGUUCUGGCAUGGGUGAAGAACGCAGCGGAUGUGCAUAGCACCCCUCUUGACUUCAGUCACUUU